Molecule: ribosomal RNA, 2930 nt
Filed under: Escherichia coli
Lineage: Bacteria; Pseudomonadati; Pseudomonadota; Gammaproteobacteria; Enterobacterales; Enterobacteriaceae
Also listed under: 2 other names
Description: bacterial LSU rRNA
Rfam family: Bacterial large subunit ribosomal RNA
Source: RNAcentral
GGGUUGUGAGGUUAAGCGACUAAGCGUACACGGUGGAUGCCCUGGCAGUCAGAGGCGAUGAAGGACGUGCUAAUCUGCGAUAAGCGUCGGUAAGGUGAUAUGAACCGUUAUAACCGGCGAUUUCCGAAUGGGGAAACCCAGUGUGAUUCGUCACACUAUCAUUAACUGAAUCCAUAGGUUAAUGAGGCGAACCGGGGGAACUGAAACAUCUAAGUACCCCGAGGAAAAGAAAUCAACCGAGAUUCCCCCAGUAGCGGCGAGCGAACGGGGAGCAGCCCAGAGCCUGAAUCAGUGUGUGUGUUAGUGGAAGCGUCUGGAAAGGCGCGCGAUACAGGGUGACAGCCCCGUACACAAAAAUGCACAUGCUGUGAGCUCGAUGAGUAGGGCGGGACACGUGGUAUCCUGUCUGAAUAUGGGGGGACCAUCCUCCAAGGCUAAAUACUCCUGACUGACCGAUAGUGAACCAGUACCGUGAGGGAAAGGCGAAAAGAACCCCGGCGAGGGGAGUGAAAAAGAACCUGAAACCGUGUACGUACAAGCAGUGGGAGCACGCUUAGGCGUGUGACUGCGUACCUUUUGUAUAAUGGGUCAGCGACUUAUAUUCUGUAGCAAGGUUAACCGAAUAGGGGAGCCGAAGGGAAACCGAGUCUUAACUGGGCGUUAAGUUGCAGGGUAUAGACCCGAAACCCGGUGAUCUAGCCAUGGGCAGGUUGAAGGUUGGGUAACACUAACUGGAGGACCGAACCGACUAAUGUUGAAAAAUUAGCGGAUGACUUGUGGCUGGGGGUGAAAGGCCAAUCAAACCGGGAGAUAGCUGGUUCUCCCCGAAAGCUAUUUAGGUAGCGCCUCGUGAAUUCAUCUCCGGGGGUAGAGCACUGUUUCGGCAAGGGGGUCAUCCCGACUUACCAACCCGAUGCAAACUGCGAAUACCGGAGAAUGUUAUCACGGGAGACACACGGCGGGUGCUAACGUCCGUCGUGAAGAGGGAAACAACCCAGACCGCCAGCUAAGGUCCCAAAGUCAUGGUUAAGUGGGAAACGAUGUGGGAAGGCCCAGACAGCCAGGAUGUUGGCUUAGAAGCAGCCAUCAUUUAAAGAAAGCGUAAUAGCUCACUGGUCGAGUCGGCCUGCGCGGAAGAUGUAACGGGGCUAAACCAUGCACCGAAGCUGCGGCAGCGACGCUGAUGCGUUGUUGGGUAGGGGAGCGUUCUGUAAGCCUGUGAAGGUGUGCUGUGAGGCAUGCUGGAGGUAUCAGAAGUGCGAAUGCUGACAUAAGUAACGAUAAAGCGGGUGAAAAGCCCGCUCGCCGGAAGACCAAGGGUUCCUGUCCAACGUUAAUCGGGGCAGGGUGAGUCGACCCCUAAGGCGAGGCCGAAAGGCGUAGUCGAUGGGAAACAGGUUAAUAUUCCUGUACUUGGUGUUACUGCGAAGGGGGGACGGAGAAGGCUAUGUUGGCCGGGCGACGGUUGUCCCGGUUUAAGCGUGUAGGCUGGUUUUCCAGGCAAAUCCGGAAAAUCAAGGCUGAGGCGUGAUGACGAGGCACUACGGUGCUGAAGCAACAAAUGCCCUGCUUCCAGGAAAAGCCUCUAAGCAUCAGGUAACAUCAAAUCGUACCCCAAACCGACACAGGUGGUCAGGUAGAGAAUACCAAGGCGCUUGAGAGAACUCGGGUGAAGGAACUAGGCAAAAUGGUGCCGUAACUUCGGGAGAAGGCACGCUGAUAUGUAGGUGAAGCGACUUGCUCGUGGAGCUGAAAUCAGUCGAAGAUACCAGCUGGCUGCAACUGUUUAUUAAAAACACAGCACUGUGCAAACACGAAAGUGGACGUAUACGGUGUGACGCCUGCCCGGUGCCGGAAGGUUAAUUGAUGGGGUCAGCGCAAGCGAAGCUCUUGAUCGAAGCCCCGGUAAACGGCGGCCGUAACUAUAACGGUCCUAAGGUAGCGAAAUUCCUUGUCGGGUAAGUUCCGACCUGCACGAAUGGCGUAAUGAUGGCCAGGCUGUCUCCACCCGAGACUCAGUGAAAUUGAACUCGCUGUGAAGAUGCAGUGUACCCGCGGCAAGACGGAAAGACCCCGUGAACCUUUACUAUAGCUUGACACUGAACAUUGAGCCUUGAUGUGUAGGAUAGGUGGGAGGCUUUGAAGUGUGGACGCCAGUCUGCAUGGAGCCGACCUUGAAAUACCACCCUUUAAUGUUUGAUGUUCUAACGUUGACCCGUAAUCCGGGUUGCGGACAGUGUCUGGUGGGUAGUUUGACUGGGGCGGUCUCCUCCUAAAGAGUAACGGAGGAGCACGAAGGUUGGCUAAUCCUGGUCGGACAUCAGGAGGUUAGUGCAAUGGCAUAAGCCAGCUUGACUGCGAGCGUGACGGCGCGAGCAGGUGCGAAAGCAGGUCAUAGUGAUCCGGUGGUUCUGAAUGGAAGGGCCAUCGCUCAACGGAUAAAAGGUACUCCGGGGAUAACAGGCUGAUACCGCCCAAGAGUUCAUAUCGACGGCGGUGUUUGGCACCUCGAUGUCGGCUCAUCACAUCCUGGGGCUGAAGUAGGUCCCAAGGGUAUGGCUGUUCGCCAUUUAAAGUGGUACGCGAGCUGGGUUUAGAACGUCGUGAGACAGUUCGGUCCCUAUCUGCCGUGGGCGCUGGAGAACUGAGGGGGGCUGCUCCUAGUACGAGAGGACCGGAGUGGACGCAUCACUGGUGUUCGGGUUGUCAUGCCAAUGGCACUGCCCGGUAGCUAAAUGCGGAAGAGAUAAGUGCUGAAAGCAUCUAAGCACGAAACUUGCCCCGAGAUGAGUUCUCCCUGACUCCUUGAGAGUCCUGAAGGAACGUUGAAGACGACGACGUUGAUAGGCCGGGUGUGUAAGCGCAGCGAUGCGUUGAGCUAACCGGUACUAAUGAACCGUGAGGCUUAACCUUACAACGCCGAAGCUGUU